Molecule: unclassified non-coding RNA, 475 nt
Filed under: uncultured fungus
Lineage: Eukaryota; Fungi
Description: partial contains small subunit ribosomal RNA, internal transcribed spacer 1, and 5.8S ribosomal RNA
Rfam family: Eukaryotic small subunit ribosomal RNA (bases 1-73)
Source: RNAcentral
GCAAACUUGGUCAUUUAGAGGAAGUAAAAGUCGUAACAAGGUUUCCGUAGGUGAACCUGCGGAAGGAUCAUUAACAAGUCCGUGCUGCCGCCGGGGAUGCCCGUGGCGGUGACACCUGCUCCGUGUGCACAUGCUGCACAUUGUGACAUUUCUGCGAGUCGUCUGAUUGUGUGCAACAACAUAUUAGUGUCAACUUUCAACAAUGGAUCUCUAGGCUCCUGCAUCUAAGAGACAGGCAAACUGUGUCAUUUAGAGGAAGUAAAAGUCGUAACAAGGUUUCCGUAGGUGAACCUGCGGAAGGAUCAUUAACAAGUCCGUGCUGCCGCCGGGGAUGCCCGUGGCGGUGACACCUGCUCCGUGUGCACAUGCUGCACAUUGUGACAUUUCUGCGAGUCGUCUGAUUGUGUGCAACAACAUAUUAGUGUCAACUUUCAACAAUGGAUCUCUAGGCUCCUGCAUCGAUGAAGAACGCAGC